GACGAAGGUGGCGAGCGUUGUUCGGAAUCACUGGGCAUAAAGCGCACGUAGGCGGUGACGUAAGUCGGGUGUGAAAUCCCUCGGCUUAACCGAGGAACUGCCCUCCAAACUGCUUGGCUUGAGUCCGGGAGAGGUGAGUGGAAUUCCCAGUGUAGCGGUGAAAUGCGUAGAUAUUGGGAGGAACACCAGUGGCGAAGGCGGCUCACUGGACCGGAACUGACGCUGAGGCGCGAAAGCGUGGGGAGCAAACGGG
Molecule: ribosomal RNA, 253 nt
Filed under: uncultured bacterium
Lineage: Bacteria
Description: partial 16S ribosomal RNA
Rfam family: Bacterial small subunit ribosomal RNA
Source: RNAcentral